This 406-nucleotide ribosomal RNA is filed under the name uncultured bacterium. RNAcentral's name for it is "partial 16S ribosomal RNA". It matches the Rfam family "Bacterial small subunit ribosomal RNA", at positions 30 to 526 of the family's 1533-position model. The record is from RNAcentral.
AUUGAACGCUGGCGGCAGGCCUAACACAUGCAAGUCGAGCGAGCGGCGGACGGGUGAGCAAUGUCUGGGAAACUGCCUGAUGGAGGGGGAUAACAACUGGAAACGGUAGCUAAUACCGCAUACCAUCGGAUGUGCCCAGAUGGGAUUAGCUUGUAGGUGAGGGAACGGCUCACCUAGGCGACGAUCCCUAGCUGGUCUGAGAGGAUUACCAUCCACACUGGAACUGAGACACCGUCCAGACUCCUACGGGAGGCAGCAGUGGGGAAUAUUGCACAAUGGGCGCAAGCCUGAUGCAGCCAUGCCGCGUGUAUGAAGAAGGCCUUCGGGUUGUAAAGUACUUUCAUCGGGGAGGCGUUACCCGCAGAAGAAGCACCGGCUAACUCCGUGCCAGCAGCCGCGGUAAUAC